UUCCUUGAACCGCAUGGUUCAAGGAUGAAAGACGGUUUCGGCUGUCACUUACAGAUGGACCCGCGGCGCAUUAGCUAGUUGGUGGGGUAAUGGCUCACCAAGGCGACGAUGCGUAGCCGACCUGAGAGGGUGAUCGGCCACACUGGGACUGAGACACGGCCCAGACUCCUACGGGAGGCAGCAGUAGGGAAUCUUCCGCAAUGGACGAAAGUCUGACGGAGCAACGCCGCGUGAGUGAUGAAGGUUUUCGGAUCGUAAAGCUCUGUUGUUAGGGAAGAACAAGUGCGAGAGUAACUGCUCGCACCUUGACGGUACCUAACCAGAAAGCCACGGCUAACUACGUGCCAGCAGCCGCGGUAAUACGUAGGUGGCAAGCGUUGUCCGGAAUUAUUGGGCGUAAAGGGCUCGCACGCGGUUUCUUAAGUCUGAUGUGAAAGCCCCCGGCUCAACCGGGGAGGGUCAUUGGAAACUGGGAAACUUGAGUGCAGAAGGAGGAGAGUGCACUUCCACGUGUAGCGGUGAAAUGCGUAGAGAUGUGAGGACCACCAGUGGCCGAAGGCGACUCUCUGGUCUGUACUGACCGCU
Molecule: ribosomal RNA, 585 nt
Filed under: Bacillus pumilus
Lineage: Bacteria; Bacillati; Bacillota; Bacilli; Caryophanales; Bacillaceae
Description: bacterial SSU rRNA
Rfam family: Bacterial small subunit ribosomal RNA
Source: RNAcentral